RNAcentral lists this transfer RNA (71 nucleotides) under human gut metagenome. It matches the Rfam family "tRNA". From Rfam's summary of the family: Transfer RNA (tRNA) molecules are approximately 80 nucleotides in length. The record is from RNAcentral. RNAcentral also lists the same sequence under 3 other names.
GCGAGAUAGCUCAGCUGGCUAGAGCGUUCGGUUCAUACCCGAAAGGUCGUGGGUUCGAUCCCCUCUCUCGC